RNAcentral lists this ribosomal RNA (253 nucleotides) under uncultured bacterium. RNAcentral's name for it is "partial 16S ribosomal RNA". It matches the Rfam family "Bacterial small subunit ribosomal RNA", at positions 524 to 776 of the family's 1533-position model. The record is from RNAcentral.
GACAGAGGGUGCAAACGUUGUUCGGAAUUACUGGGCGUAAAGAGCGUGUAGGCGGCCCGGUAAGUCCGCUGUGAAAGUCGGGGGCUCAACCCUCGGAUGCCGGUGGAUACUGUCGGGCUCGAGUACGGAAGAGGCGAGUGGAAUUCCUGGUGUAGCGGUGAAAUGCGCAGAUAUCAGGAGGAACACCUAUUGCGAAGGCAGCUCGCUGGGACGUUACUGACGCUGAGACGCGAAAGCGUGGGGAGCAAACAGG